UAAGGAUGAUAAAACCAAAUGGUUCAAAUGUUAAAAUUGUUCUCUAGUAUGAAAGAAUAGGCACUACUUGCACCUAUUGUGCCAUGAUAGGACAAGACCAUCGAUCCAACCUUACUUUGUUAGAAGAUGCAAAAUAGUAGAGACAAUUUACCAAACAAGCUGGGUGAAUGGUUCAAGGCUAAUCAAGUUUGAGCGAGAGUAGAGAUGAAAGAGGAAUCAGAAAAUGGUGGCAACUCGAAAUCGCAAGCUAAUGAAAGACUUAGAAGGAAGAAACUUGUGCCAAAUUUCAUAGAUGAUUUUCUUAUUGAUAUAGGCAUGGUUAGCCAGCCAUUUACAUAGUUAAACAGGUAUAAUGGAGAUGAUCUCAUUAGAAAAAUACUUGAUCAUGUGUUAGUAAGGGGCUAGUAGUGAAACUGGCAUCAAUUAGCAUUGGUGAGAAAAUUAGUAGAGAAUGAUUUUGAUCACUCUCCUCUUUUAUUAGACACCGAACCUCCUAAAUAGCAAAGCAAGAGGAGGUCUAAAUUUCAAGAAAGAUGGUGUAAAAUGGAGGAAGUAAGAAAACUAGUUGAGAAAGAUUGGAGUAUAGAGAUUCACUACAGUAGAGGCGGAGCCUAGCGGUGGCUAAACAGCGGCCGUGGCCACAAACGCCGCUAAUUGAAUAGAUCUCCGCAGAGGUCAGCAGCAAUCUGGAGAGAAGCCGCAAAACGACCCUGGGUAGCGGCCGUGCACUCAGAACCACUACGAAUUUUGGGUUCUAUAUAUCUUCAACCUUCCUUAUUUUACCCAUGCUCUUGGCGCGAACACAAGCACGAGCAGAGGCGUGAAGAGCACCCAACCUCCCUGUGCCGCAACCUAUCUGCGAGAACACCCAGAAACCCCGCUAGUUGAUUUUGGUAGCGCACCAAACACGAGCGGGAGCAGAGCCGCGUAAUAUCAGCAGAAGAACCCACCAGAAACUCCUUGCCAAAUCCCUGACCUCUGCUCCACCCGCCAUUUCCGUGUUGGCUGUCGAAUCACGCAGCUGCCAACCAUGGUCCUAUAACUAGCGACGAAGUUGAGCAUCUCAUCGAUCCUGCGUGAAACUGCUACACCGUCCUCCACCGUGCGUCAAUCUUAGCUAUCGCGGCCUCUCCCCUUUCACUGGAUGCAAGUUCUUGGACCUUGUCGAUAAUAAUUUCCUGAUUGCAUUGACUAUCACUAUCUAGAAGGAAUGCUACUUUCAAUCUGAUCUCUUCAAACGGUCACAUCUCAGGUAUUUUCUGGCUGAAAUUGAGGGUCCUGAGCAAAAAUCUGAUUCAGAGACUGAAAAGGACUGCAGAUGCUGUUGGAUUCUGACCUCCCUGCACUCGAAGUGGAUUUUCUGGAGCUACAGAAGCCCAAUUGGCGCGCUCUCAAUGGCGUUAGAAAGUAGACAUCCUGGGCUUUCCAGCAAUGUAUAAUAGUCCAUACUUUGCCCGAGAUUUGAUGGCCCAAACCGGCGUGGCAAUCAGCCUCAGAAUUUCCAGCGUUUAACGCUGGAACUGGCAUAAAACUUGGAGUUAAACGCCCAAACUGGCAUGAAAGCUGGCGUUUAACUCCAGAAAAAGUCUCUACACAUGAAAGCUUGAAUGCUCAGCCCAAGCACACACUAAGUGGACCCAGAAGUGGAUUUUUACGUCAUUUACUCAUUUCUGUAUACCCUAGGUUACUAGUUUACUAUUAAUAGGAUCUUUUGACAUUGUAUCUCGACCUCAUGACACUUUACACGUUUCUUUGUGUACUUCCUAUGGCAUGAGUCUCUAAACCCCAUGGUUGGGGGUGAGGAGCUCUGCUGUGUCUUGAUGGAUUAAUGCAAUU
This is a long non-coding RNA of Arachis duranensis, 1836 nucleotides long. RefSeq lists it as uncharacterized. Lineage: Eukaryota; Viridiplantae; Streptophyta; Magnoliopsida; Fabales; Fabaceae. The record is from RefSeq and is a predicted model, not a curated record. The transcript is spliced from 5 exons.